RNAcentral lists this unclassified non-coding RNA (173 nucleotides) under uncultured Gigasporaceae. RNAcentral describes it as "sequence contains ITS2". Lineage: Eukaryota; Fungi; Glomeromycota; Glomeromycetes; Diversisporales; Gigasporaceae. The record is from RNAcentral.
UAAAAAAUAUCGUACAUCUUUGAUGUGACGGAUCUGGGUUAUCCGAUCUUAUUAAUCGGUUACCUAAAAUUUAAGAUGGAUAUGUAAUGUGAAGCGUACUAAAUUAGUCGCUAAUCAUUUAUAAUACUUAUUACAUUACCUCUAAAUAUUUAGUUGGUGGUGUAUAAAUUGAG